GAUGAACGCUGGCGGCGUGCUUAACACAUGCAAGUCGAACGAUUAAGACCCCUUCGGGGGCGUAUAGAGUGGCGAACGGGUGAGUAACACGUAGGCAACCUGCCCCUUCCUCUGGGAUAACACGGAGAAAUCCGUGCUAAUACCGGAUACUCCAUAUCUGCGGCAUCGCGGAUAUGGGAAAGCUCCGACGGGAAGGGAUGGGCCCGCGGUCCAUUCGCUAGUCGGUGGGGUGACGGCCUACCGAGGCGACGAUGGAUAGCCGGGUUGAGAGACCGACCGGCCACAUUGGGACUGAGAAACGGCCCAGACUCCUACGGGAGGCAGCAGUGGGGAAUUUUGCGCAAUGGGGGAAACCCUGACGCAGCAACGCCGCGUGCGGGAUGAAGGCCUUCGGGUUGUAAACCGCUUUCAGCAGGGAAGAAUACAGACGGUACCUGCAGAAGAAGCUCCGGCUAACUACGUGCCAGCCGCCGCAGUAA
RNAcentral lists this ribosomal RNA (479 nucleotides) under uncultured bacterium. Its description in RNAcentral is "partial 16S ribosomal RNA". It matches the Rfam family "Bacterial small subunit ribosomal RNA", at positions 28 to 523 of the family's 1533-position model. The record is from RNAcentral.